GCAUGAGUGAAUACUGUGUUCUUUAUUUUUCAAAGCCAUACACCAUGCAAAAGUAAAAUUUUCCCUUGAAAUGGCUUUUGAUGGUAUGCUGCUUUCUCAUGACACAUCAUUAUUAAAGUGGCUACAAUA
This 129-nucleotide small nucleolar RNA is filed under the name Sorex araneus (European shrew). RNAcentral describes it as "Small nucleolar RNA SNORA15 (ENSSARG00000018666.1)". It matches the Rfam family "Small nucleolar RNA SNORA15". Rfam says of the family: ACA15 is a member of the H/ACA class of snoRNA that guide the sites of modification of uridines to pseudouridines. Lineage: Eukaryota; Metazoa; Chordata; Mammalia; Eulipotyphla; Soricidae. The record is from RNAcentral.